AACGAACGCUGGUGGCGUGCUUAACACAUGCAAGUCGAACGAGAAAGUUUCCUUCGGGAAAUUAGUAAAGUGGCGCAAGGGUGAGUAACACGUGAAUAAUCUACCCUCGAGAUCGGGAUAACAUGGUGAAAACUAUGCUAAUACCGGAUAAGACCACAUUUCAUAAGAAAUGCGGAAAAAGAAGUCUCAACCUUCACUCGAGGAUGAGUUCGCGGAACAUUAGCUUGUUGGUGAGAUAAAAGCUCACCAAGGCUACGAUGUUUAGCCGGCCUGAGAGGGCGAACGGUCACACUGGAACUGAGACACGGUCCAGACUCCUACGGGAGGCAGCAGUGGGGAAUCUUGCACAAUGGGGGAAACCCUGAUGCAGCGAUGCCGCGUGAGUGAAG
This 389-nucleotide ribosomal RNA is filed under the name uncultured Nitrospina sp. RNAcentral describes it as "bacterial SSU rRNA". It matches the Rfam family "Bacterial small subunit ribosomal RNA", at positions 29 to 410 of the family's 1533-position model. The record is from RNAcentral. Lineage: Bacteria; Pseudomonadati; Nitrospinota; Nitrospinia; Nitrospinales; Nitrospinaceae.